GAUGAACGCUGGCUACAGGCUUAACACAUGCAAGUCGAGGGGAAACGCCGGGGAAGCUUGCUUCCCCGGGCGUCGACCGGCGCACGGGUGAGUAACGCGUAUCCAACCUGCCUCUGACUGAGGGAUAACCCGUCGAAAGUCGGCCUAAUACCUCAUGGCAUCGUCUGCGGGCAUCCAACGACGAUUAAAGAUUUCAUCGGUCAGGGAUGGGGAUGCGUCUGAUUAGCUAGUUGGCGGGGUAACGGCCCACCAAGGCGACGAUCAGUAGGGGUUCUGAGAGGAAGGUCCCCAACAUUGGAACGGCGACACGGUCCAAACUCCUACGGGAGGCAGCAGUGAGGAAUAUUGGGCAAUGGGCGAGAGCCUGAACCAGCCAAGUAGCGUGCAGGAUGACGGCCCUAUGGGUUGUAAACUGCUUUUAUGCGGGGAUAAAGUGAGGGACGUGUCCUUCAUUGCAGGUACCGCAUGAAUAAGGACCGGCUAAUUCCGU
RNAcentral lists this ribosomal RNA (490 nucleotides) under uncultured bacterium. RNAcentral's name for it is "partial 16S ribosomal RNA". It matches the Rfam family "Bacterial small subunit ribosomal RNA", at positions 28 to 506 of the family's 1533-position model. The record is from RNAcentral.